GCCCCAGCAGCUAGCCCACCUUUUAAAUUCAACAAACCUUAUUAAUAACCCCACAAUAACUGCAAAUACAUGAUUAAACCAUUCUUUUUCCCCAGUAUAGGAGAUAGAAAAGGACACCUAGGCGCGAUAGAACAGUACCGCAAGGGAAAGCCGAAAGAGAGAUGAAAGAGCCCAGUAAAGGCGACAGAAGCAGAGGUUAGCCCUCGUACCUUUUGCAUCAUGACUUAGCCAGUAACCCUUGAGCAAAAGGGCAUUUUACGUUCAAGCCCCCGAAACUAAGCGAGCUACUCCGAAACAGCCUUUCCGAGGGCAAACCCGUCUCUGUGGCAAAAGAGUGGGAAGAUUUCCGAGUAGAGGUGACAGACCUACCGAGCCUAGUGAUAGCUGGUUUCCUGAGAAAAGAAUAGAAGUUCAGCCCCCUGGCUCCUCAAGCCAACUAAGGUCUCCCCUUCCCCGGGCCCGAAGGACACCAAGGGAGUUAUUCAAAAGAGGGACAGCUCUCUUGAAAGAAGAAACAACUUUAAAUAGAAGGUUAAAGAUCACACAACUAAAGGCAGAGUACCCAAGUGGGCCUAAAAGCAGCCACCCUAGUAGACAGCGUUAAAGCUCAAGUGCCAGCCCCCCUAUGAUCCCGAAUACAACAUCUUAUGCCUCUUAACCUAACAGGACCCCCCAUGCACCCAUGGGGAAGAUACUGCUAACAUGAGUAAUAAGAGAGCAAGACUCUCUCGAAAGCAUCCGUGUACAUCAGACCGAACCCCCACUGAACAUUAACGCCCCCAAAAACAGAGGGUAACAGGACAGUUUAAGCAAAGCUAGAAAACCUCCCCGGAAACAGCGUUAACCCCACACAGGAAUGCGCCCUCGAAAGACAUAAUAAGAGAGAAGGAACUCGGCAAACCAUGGCCUCGCCUGUUUACCAAAAACAUCGCCUCUUGCCCCCAAAAUAUAAGAGGUCCCGCCUGCCCUGUGACGAAAGUUUAACGGCCGCGGUAUUUUGACCGUGCGAAGGUAGCGUAAUCACUUGUCUUUUAAAUAGAGACCUGUAUGAAUGGCAUAACGAGGGCUAAGCUGUCUCCUUUCUUUAGUCAAUGAAAUUGAUCUCCCCGUGCAGAAGCGGGGCUAACUACAUAAGACGAGAAGACCCUAUGGAGCUUCAGACUACGGGCAGAUCACGUUAAAGCACCCCCAUCACCGGGACAAAACCAAGUGACCCCUGGCCCCUCUGUCUUUGGUUGGGGCGACCGCGGGGUAACAAUCAACCCCCACGUGGAAAGGAAACACAACCUUAACGCCAGAGCCACAGCUCUAGUUAGCAGAAACUCUGACCAUAAGAUCCGGCAAGACCGAUCAACGGACCCAGUUACCCUAGGGAUAACAGCGCAAUCCCCUUAUAGAGCCCAUAUCGACAAGGGGGUUUACGACCUCGAUGUUGGAUCAGGACCUCCUAAUGGUGCAGCCGCUAUUAAGGGUUCGUUUGUUCAACGAUUAAAGUCCUACGUGAUCUGAGUUCAGACCGGAGAAAUCCAGGUCAGUUUCUAUCUAUGAUUAUACUCUUUUCUAGUACGAAAGGACCGGAAAGAGGGGGCCCAUGCUUUAAGCACGCCCCGCCCCCACCUGAUGACACCGUCUAAAUCAGGUAACGGGGGGAACUCUACCGCCUGAGAUUAAGGCUA
Molecule: ribosomal RNA, 1676 nt
Filed under: Parioglossus formosus (beautiful hover goby)
Lineage: Eukaryota; Metazoa; Chordata; Actinopteri; Gobiiformes; Gobiidae
Description: 16S rRNA
Rfam family: Bacterial large subunit ribosomal RNA
Source: RNAcentral